Molecule: ribosomal RNA, 460 nt
Filed under: uncultured bacterium
Lineage: Bacteria
Description: partial 16S ribosomal RNA
Rfam family: Bacterial small subunit ribosomal RNA
Source: RNAcentral
CCUACGGGAGACAGCAGUGAGGAAUAUUGGUCAAUGGACGAGAGUCUGAACCAGCCAAGUAGCGUGAAGGAUGACUGCCCUAUGGGUUGUAAACUUCUUUUAUAUGGGAAUAAACUGUUCCACGUGUGGGAUUUUGUAUGUACCAUAUGAAUAAGGAUCGGCUAACUCCGUGCCAGCAGCCGCGGUAAUACGGAGGAUCCGAGCGUUAUCCGGAUUUAUUGGGUUUAAAGGGAGCGUAGGUGGAUUGUUAAGUCAGUUGUGAAAGUUUGCGGCUCAACCGUAAAAUUGCAGUUGAAACUGGCAGUCUGGAGUACAGUAGAGGUGGGCGGAAUUCGUGGUGUAGCGGUGAAAUGCUUAGAUAUCACGAAGAACUACGAUUGCGAAGGCAGCUCACUGGACUGCAACUGACACUGAGGCGCGAAAGUGUGGGUAUCAAACAGGAUUAGAUACCCCUGUAGUC